GAUGAACGCUAGCGGGAGGCUUAACACAUGCAAGUCGAGGGGUAAAUGGUAGCAAUACUAUGAGACCGGCGGACGGGUGCGUAACGCGUAUGCAACAUACCUUGUGCAGGGGGAUAGCCCGUGGAAACGCGGAUUAAUAUUCCAUAGUCCAGCUAUAUCGCAUGGUAUAGUUGGUAAAGAUUUAUCGGCACAAGUUUGGCAUGCGUCUGAUUAGCUUGUUGGUAGGGUAACGGCCUACCAAGGCUACGAUCAGUAGGGGUUCUGAGAGGAUUAACCCCCACACUGGCACUGAGACACGGACCAGACUCCUACGGGAGGCAGCAGUGAGGAAUAUUGGUCAAUGGGCGGAAGCCUGAACCAGCCAUCCCGCGUGAAGGAAGACAGCCUUACGGGUUGUAAACUUCUUUUCUGUCAGAAGAAUAAGCUUGUCGAGACGAGUGAUGCCGGUAUGACAGGAAUAAGCAUCGGCUAACUCCGUG
This 479-nucleotide ribosomal RNA is filed under the name uncultured bacterium. RNAcentral's name for it is "bacterial SSU rRNA". It matches the Rfam family "Bacterial small subunit ribosomal RNA", at positions 28 to 507 of the family's 1533-position model. The record is from RNAcentral.